This is a long non-coding RNA of Gopherus flavomarginatus (Mexican gopher tortoise), 1167 nucleotides long. RefSeq lists it as uncharacterized. Lineage: Eukaryota; Metazoa; Chordata; Testudines; Testudinidae. The record is from RefSeq and is a predicted model, not a curated record. The transcript has 3 exons.
CACCUCGACACCUACCGCCUCUCGCCCCACCCCCCACAUCCUCCUUCCCGUCCUCAGCACCCCGCCCCCCCUUCCUCUGCCUCCCCCCCAUCCCCAUCCUCAGCGCCCCACCCCUAAUUGCCUCCAACCCAUUUCUCAUUGCUGGGCCCCACUUUCCCAUCCUCCCACUCCCCCAGUCCUUCCCCAGGGUGUGAGGUUCCUCAUCUUCAAUCUCUGCUACACCCAAACCUGCCAGGUUCCCCUUUUCAACCACUGUGGGGUUGUCCAACCCGCCGACACCCAUCCACUCUGGGCUCUCUAAAUCCCACAUUCCCACAAUGCUCCUUGGUAACGCCACUCUUCUCUAUCCCUAAUCCUCCUAUUCCCUUCCCUCAGGUCCUCCUGGACACCCCAGCCCACAGUCAGGCCCCCACAUACAUCCCACUCAUUUACAUGCUGAGCUAGUUCUUCAGGGACCCCCACAGCCCAGCAGACUUCUCCAUCCAUGAGCCCCAUGGACCUGUGGCCAGGAAGGGUGAGGUGUGGUUUUGGCCGAAGAUGAGGUGUUUUGGUAGCCCUGUGGAUGCUGUGUGGUGUCUGGAAUGGGGCGUGUGUGUUCCCAUCAUGCCCCUUCCCCUCUGCCUGCAGAGCUGAGGACAGACAGGUCUGAGGAGCAGAGCAGGAGCUCUGGGAAGGAGAAGAGCAAUAUGAAGAUGGAGUCUAAGAUGAGACCAGGUAACUUCUGUGGAGGGAGACAUGCUGGACAGGGCCUAGGAUUGGGGAGACAAGCAGGGAAAAGAAGUCAUGGGGACGGAGUCCAGCCCUGAGGUGAGAUGGAAAGUGAUCAAGAGCAGUGACAGCGUGAAUCCUGUUGAUGCCAGGCAAGAGCUCCCCAACUGGGACAAGAGUAACCAUCCCUGUCGGUGAGAUGUGUAUCUGGUUUGGGAAGGGCUCUGGUCACAGCCCUACUGGCUCCAGGCAGGGACUUCCCGUUACCUGGGUGUGGGUUUCCGGACUAGCUGUGGCUUCAGGGGAGAUGAUGUUGCCAUUUGCGAGAGCUGAUCAUCUCUCUGGCCAGGAGUGGUGUGUGCUCCCUAGCAGAAAGUUGGAUCCAUGAGGGUGACUCCCUGUUGUGAAUUUCUUUCAUCCUCCUAGGUUUCUCUGUCUGUGUUGGCCAACUUUCACUCA